CAGUCGCCGCGGUAAUACGUAGGGUGCGAGCGUUAAUCGGAAUUACUGGGCGUAAAGCGUGCGCAGGCGGUUAUGUAAGACAGUUGUGAAAUCCCCGGGCUCAACCUGGGAACUGCAUCUGUGACUGCAUAGCUAGAGUACGGUAGAGGGGGAUGGAAUUCCGCGUGUAGCAGUGAAAUGCGUAGAUAUGCGGAGGAACACCGAUGGCGAAGGCAAUCCCCUGGACCUGUACUGACGCUCAUGCACGAAAGCGUGGGGAGCAAACAGGAUUAGAUACCCGAGUAGUCCCUGUCUCUUAUAC
This 301-nucleotide ribosomal RNA is filed under the name uncultured bacterium. RNAcentral's name for it is "partial 16S ribosomal RNA". It matches the Rfam family "Bacterial small subunit ribosomal RNA", at positions 509 to 807 of the family's 1533-position model. The record is from RNAcentral.